CAUAUUAUCAAUCAAAACAAAAUUACCAAUUCAAUAUAGAACAUAAUUUAUAAAUCCAGAUUUAUAGAAAUCAAACAUAAAAAUAGAAUUACAAUUCAACAUAUAACAUAUAAAUAACCAAAAUAAUUUUAUAUGUAUUAUCAACCAAAACAGAAUUAUAAAUAUAUAUAUUUGGAUAUAGAUUCGGGUAUUACCCAUACCCGUA
This 205-nucleotide long non-coding RNA is filed under the name Elaeis guineensis (African oil palm). Its description in RNAcentral is "long non-coding RNA (EGUI_LNC017683)". The record is from RNAcentral. Lineage: Eukaryota; Viridiplantae; Streptophyta; Magnoliopsida; Arecales; Arecaceae.